UCAUAUUACCGAAUUAUACUAUUAUAGUAACUAUUACAAAAAUCAUAUAGAAGAUCCAAAACUUAUCAUCAUGUAGCUUUAAAGUCAACCAUAAGCCUCUUUUGUGGUCCCAAUGCAUCUCUAACCACCAGGCAGGUGAUGUACAGGAUAAUGCAACAACAAAAAAAACAUAUUAGACAAAUUCCAAAUCCUAUGACAUCUCCAUUUCCUAAAAAUAAUAGUAUAGCUUCUCCUUUGUUUCAUUUUCAUACUCAAAUUUUCAAAUACCGGUCGAUCCAACCAAGGACUAGUACGGGACCAUAAUACCAUGCGGUUCAAUACCGAUCAGACAAUUUGAGUAUCAGACAAUUUGAGUAUCAGACAAUUUGAGUCAUUAUAUCACCUGUAAUACCAUACCAGACCAACAAGGCAUCAAAAUCAAUGUCAGGCCGAGACUCCUUGGUCAUGGAUGUUUUCUAGACCAAGCAGCAUCAGAAAAACUGAAAGAUAACUAGGUCACAACUAAAUACUGCUCCAGUUCUAAACUAAACGAGGAAAAUAAAAGAAUAAUAAUGAAAUCAAUAGGAAGGUAAAGUAAGAAAUAUGAGGAAUUGCUUACCAGUAGGAAAAGAUGAUGGUGCUGGAUGAUAGGGGGUUGAGGGAGUAAAUCCGAUGGUACCAACACCAUGGCUGGAAGAGUUAAAUCCGAUGGCACCAACACCUCGCAUCCUCUUGCUGGACGUGAAGGCUGACAGGGGAUCGGUGAUAAAGAAAUCACUAUUAGAGAUGGAUGGCUGGCACUCAAGGGCCGGUGGUGGCUGGAUUGGAGAGUUAGAGAUUUGAG
Molecule: long non-coding RNA, 823 nt
Filed under: Musa acuminata (dwarf banana)
Lineage: Eukaryota; Viridiplantae; Streptophyta; Magnoliopsida; Zingiberales; Musaceae
Description: long non-coding RNA (MACU_LNC000212)
Source: RNAcentral